AAGAUACGUCAUACAGAAAACUCAUGGAGAUCAGACAAUUUGCUUCCCACCUGGCAAGGAUGUAUUGAGACUUAAUGUAGACAGAAGUGAUUUUAGUUUCUCUAUUGGAUGAUGUAAACCAGCGGAGUUCAGGACUCUGCCCUAAAACUUGCUAAGAAAAGAUUCUCCAGAUUGGGCAACCAAAUGCUUAAUUAAAUCAUUUUUGAAACACUGUUCCCUAAAGAGGUCUUGAUCCACAGAGCACUUCUUAAGAGUCCUUGUGGGACCCAAGUCUCCAUCAGAAUCCUGUUUCUUGGGAGCCUGAUCUGCAGCACUAAAGAAGUGAAACUGUUCAUUAUUAGGAAGAUUAGUGGUAAGAAUUUAUAUUAUUAGUGAGGUGGGUGAAAGUGUUGCCUGUAAAUUGGUUGGCCAAGUCCCCAGAGAAUGGUCUUUGAUGUCAGACAGACCUGAGUUUGAGUCCCUGCUCUGUUACUUAUCAACUCUGAGAUUUUUGAGAAAGUCAGGGACUUUAUCUAUAAAGCUGGAAGUCAUACUUACCUUGUGAUCAUAUUCACUUUACAGUCACAUUUACCAUCCUAACGUGGGGGGACAAGUGAAAUGGCUAUUCUUACUGAAUCCCUAGUGCUUGGAGCAAAGAAGGGUCCUCCGUGAGUGCUGAGGGAGGGCAAGUGAGCAACACUGCUCAUGGGUUUCAUUCAGAGAGGUAUUGGCAGUAAUCCAGGCUUCAGAAUUUAAGGAAAGGAAUGUAAAAAGUAAAAGGAAAAUAUAUCAUGGUGGAAAGAGAAGGUUAUUGCUGCCAAGACCUAGAUGAGUAGACUCAUCGAACUUCACAUAUCUAAUUCCUGAAAGAUAUCCUAGCAAGUCAGUUAAAUUAACAUUUUAAAGCAUUUGCUAUUAAUGAGAUGCUGGGGAAGACACGAUGGUCAUUUUCUAAAGGACCCUAAUUACAACUCUGCUAGUGGCUUAAAGAAUUUAUUUUAUGAGAAAAGAGUGUAUAUAAUCAUUAAAUGUAGUCAAGGCAUUGAUUAGGUACUCAAAAAUAUUUAUUGAAUGAAGUAUAUUAUAUGAGACACUUCAAGUUGUUAAGUGUCUUAGGACUAGUAGAAUUUAUACCAUAUAAGAAUUAGAUAUUUAAAAAUGAAGAUGAUAUGUCACAGAAGUUAGCCAAACAGAAAAGGAAAAAUUAACUAAGAAAGAGUAAAACACUUAAUACAGGAACAUUCUUAAGUCUAAAUGGACUCAGUGAGAGGUGGGUGGGUACAAGAUAAGGCACUCGAGAGUUCUGAAUGGAUUUAAUCCUUCUUAUCUAUGCUCACAAAAGAAGCUGGCUACCAGAAGGCAAAAACAAAGCAGAAUCAUCUCUAAGGAAUUCUGUAUUUGUCUUUGAAUGUCUUAUAGGAUGAUUCUUUGGUUCAUAUCUACUGUCCUGGUUAAAUUGGUUCCAAUGUUUCAUUUCCUGAGUAUGCACCAGCUGAUAGUAAGGGGUGACACUCAGCAAUGUGUUGGGGAACUUUUCUUCCCUGGGAUUAAAAUUGUGGACAUGUAUAAUCCACAGACAGAGCUGGGAGGAAGUUAAUCAUUCUAGGUAUCUGAGUUUUCCACAUCCCAGGUAAAACUACCCCAAAAGUCACAAGUUCAAGUGCCCACGGGUAAGGUAGUUCAUGUAAAUGAGUAAAGCAGUCUAUGUUUAAAGGAAAAAUGAAUGAGGAUAUAUAACUGUGGUUCAUCCAUACCAUGGACCACUACUCAGCAAUAAAAAUAAACCAAGUAUUGAUUUACUCAACAACUUGGAUAACUCUCCAGGGAAUUAUGAUGAGUAAAAAAGCAUAAUCUACAAGGCUAUCCAGUGUUUGAUUCCAUUUAUAUCAACAUUCUUAAAAUGCAAAAUUAUAGCAAUGGAGAAUAGAUGAGAGUUUACUGAGGGGCAAGAAUGGGGGUGGUGAUGGGAUGGGUGUGGUGUUUGUGAGGGACCCUUGUGGGGAUUGAACUGUCAGCACCUUGACUCUACCAAUGUCAAUAUUCUGGUUGUGAUGUGGUUCUAGAGUUUUGUAAGAUGUUACCGGAGAGAGAAAGUGGGGAAAAGAACAUGGGAUUUCUCUGUAUUAUUUCUUACAAUUGCAUGUGAACCUAUAAUUAUCUUCAAAUAAAACUUCAAUUAAAAAAAA
Molecule: long non-coding RNA, 2165 nt
Organism: Myotis lucifugus (little brown bat)
Lineage: Eukaryota; Metazoa; Chordata; Mammalia; Chiroptera; Vespertilionidae
Exons: 2
Source: RefSeq, a predicted model, not a curated record